GGCUCAGGACGAACGCUGGCGGCGUGCCUAACACAUGCAAGCGAGCGAGGAGAUCCUCGGGAUGAUCCUAGCGGCGGACGGGUGAGUAACACGUGGGCAACCUGCCUCAUAGAGAGGAAUAGCCUUCCGAAAGGGAGAUUAAUACCUCAUAACAUUGCAGUUUCGCAUGGAACAGCAAUUAAAGGAGCAAUCCGCUAUGAGAUGGGCCCGCGGCGCAUUAGCUAGUUGGUGAGGUAACGGCUCACCAAGGCGACGAUGCGUAGCCGACCUGAGAGGGUGAUCGGCCACAUUGGGACUGAGACACGGCCCAGACUCCUACGGGAGGCAGCAGUGGGGAAUAUUGCACAAUGGGGGAAACCCUGAUGCCAGCAACGCCGCGUGAGUGAUGACGGCCUUCGGGUUGUAAAGCUCUGUCUUCAGGGACGACUAAUCGACGGUACCUGAGGAGGAAGCCACGGCUAACUACGUGCCAGCCGCCGC
RNAcentral lists this ribosomal RNA (480 nucleotides) under uncultured bacterium. Its description in RNAcentral is "bacterial SSU rRNA". It matches the Rfam family "Bacterial small subunit ribosomal RNA", at positions 21 to 518 of the family's 1533-position model. The record is from RNAcentral.